Long non-coding RNA from Larimichthys crocea (large yellow croaker), 393 nucleotides. RefSeq lists it as uncharacterized. The record is from RefSeq and is a predicted model, not a curated record. The transcript has 3 exons. Lineage: Eukaryota; Metazoa; Chordata; Actinopteri; Sciaenidae.
GAUCCAUCAGAGACCAGAUUUUGCUGGACCUGGACCUGAACCUGAACCCAGCUGUGUGUCCUUCAAGAGUGACGGGUCCAUUGGUCGCUUCAUUGAUUUUAAGCAAAAACAUUUAUCAGACAAAAAGAUCCAUCCGAGACCAGACUCUGCUGGACCUGAACCUGGACCCAGCUGUGUGUCCUUCAAGAGUGACGGGUCCAUUGGUCGCUUCAUUGAUUUUAAAGAUGUCGGACCGUCUGCUGCACAGAGCUUCGUUCUUCAAACAUUUAGAUUCUCACAUCUGAAAACUGACCAGCAGAACCAGCAGAACCAGUAGAACCAGAAGAACCAGUAGAAGCAGAAGAACCAGUAGAAGCAGUAGAAUCAGUAGAACCAGUAGAACCAGUAGAAUCA